CUGACAAGUGAGGCAGAAAUUACCCACUGCCCAGCAAAAACCAGUGGGGCCAGCCAGUGGUCUCUGCCCUGGCAGCCCAGUUUCCCCAGUCUCAUCUCAAAAUGACCAGUUACACUGAAGCAAAGAGCACUGGAACCAGUGCAACAAGCCCCAGUCUGACUUUGACACCUGCCCACGUGUCCUGUUUUCUGCUGCUCUACAGACUUCCUUGUUUAAAAUACAAUGGAAAAACAAACAGUUUUUGGGGUUGUUUUGGUUUUGGGCUUGGGGUUUUUUUUCCCCCCACUGUUCUCAUUAACCUCAUUUCAAAUCUAUUUCGGUGUUUGAAGAUGAAUUAAAAUUUUGAAUGAUUUUUAAUAGCACAUGUAAGGGGGGUACUUUUGAAUUAGAUGAUCAAUGGAGCAUAGAGGCGUGAGAAAGGAAUCAUAUUAGGAUGUGAAACCAGCUGAGUAUGGUACAAUGUAACUUCAUGGCACAAGCGAAUUGUAAGGUCCAUUGUGCUUUUUAGCAAGUCAGCUUGAUAUCCCCUAUUAUCAGAGCUGAGUUCUUCCUUGGUUUUGCUACAUAUUGCAAGAUAGAUACAUCUACCCUUGAAACACAAUGGUAGAGGUCAUACAUAGGGGUGAGAAAGAUGAUGAUGGGAGGAAGAUUCUGUGGGCAGGGGUCGCUGGCCCCUUGCCCUACAGCAGGGCACGCACAGACUGUUGCUAUCAGGUGAUGAUCAGGCGGGGUUUGGCUGCCACUCAGGCAUCACCUUAUACUGGGUACUGGCCCUACGUGGUGCAAUGUAGAGCUGAUAAAAUGGGGUGUCGGGACUGCUGGGGUGAGCGAUCCUCAUCCUGCCAUGGAGACUGUGUUGUUCCACCGGGACGCCCGCUAAGCACGGGCACCGACCAGCUGCUGCAGAUCCUGGCAGCCCUGGCCUGUCUGUGUGGGUAAGCACAGUUUAUUGAGAGGAAGCAACUGAGAGAACAAACUUUUUAAUAUCCUUUUAGUGUUCCUUUAAUUCCCCUUUUAUGUUUAUGGUAUUUUUCCUUUAGUUUCCCUUUUUACUAACCAAUAUUGUGUUAUCCAUAAUAUUGUGUUAAGAUCCUUUUUUGGUAUCCCUUUUCACUAGUUAAUACUGUAUUAAAUGCUGUUCGUAGUAUUUGUUUUAAUGCCACCCGAUAAGGUAGUUAUUUUGUAUCCUUUUUAGUUUUUAAUUCCUCUUGCUAAGUUUAUUACUAUUAUUAUUAUUCUCACUGUAAUAAAAGAUAUUUUGUGCGUUUGAAUAUUU
Pseudopipra pipra is the source of this 1276-nucleotide long non-coding RNA. RefSeq lists it as uncharacterized. The record is from RefSeq and is a predicted model, not a curated record. The transcript has 2 exons. Lineage: Eukaryota; Metazoa; Chordata; Aves; Passeriformes; Pipridae.